Molecule: ribosomal RNA, 460 nt
Filed under: uncultured bacterium
Lineage: Bacteria
Description: partial 16S ribosomal RNA
Rfam family: Bacterial small subunit ribosomal RNA
Source: RNAcentral
CCUACGUGAGGCAGCAGUGAGGAAUAUUGGUCAAUGGACGCAAGCCUGAACCAGCCAAGUAGCGUGCAGGAUGACUGCCCUACGGGUUGUAAACUGCUUUUAUGCGGGGAUAAACUGAGUCACGUGUGGCUUAUUGUAUGUACCGCAUGAAUAAGGACCGGCUAAUUCCGUGCCAGCAGCCGCGGUAAUACGGAAGGUCCGGGCGUUAUCCGGAUUUAUUGGGUUUAAAGGGAGCGUAGACGGCAUGUUAAGCGAGUUGUGAAAGGCCGCGGCUCAACCGUGGCACUGCAAGGGAGACUGGCGGGCUUGAGUACGCUGGAGGUAGGCGGAAUUCGUGGUGUAGCGGUGAAAUGCUUAGAUAUCACGAAGAACUCCGAUUGCGAAGGCAGCUUACUGAAGCGCUACUGACGCUGAGGCUCGAAGGUGUGGGUAUCGAACAGGAUUAGAUACCCGGGUAGUC